CAGUCGCCGCGGUAAUACGUAGGUGGCAAGCGUUGUCCGGAAUUAUUGGGCGUAAAGGGCUCGCAGGCGGUUUCUUAAGUCUGAUGUGAAAGCCCCCGGCUCAACCGGGGAGGGUCAUUGGAAACUGGGAAACUUGAGUGCAGAAGAGGAGAGUGGAAUUCCACGUGUAGCGGUGAAAUGCGUAGAGAUGUGGAGGAACACCAGUGGCGAAGGCGACUCUCUGGUCUGUAACUGACGCUGAGGAGCGAAAGCGUGGGGAGCGAACAGGAUUAGAGACCCCUGUAGUCCCUGUCUCUUAUAC
This 301-nucleotide ribosomal RNA is filed under the name uncultured bacterium. RNAcentral describes it as "partial 16S ribosomal RNA". It matches the Rfam family "Bacterial small subunit ribosomal RNA", at positions 509 to 807 of the family's 1533-position model. The record is from RNAcentral.